RNAcentral lists this ribosomal RNA (438 nucleotides) under uncultured bacterium. RNAcentral describes it as "partial 16S ribosomal RNA". It matches the Rfam family "Bacterial small subunit ribosomal RNA", at positions 29 to 507 of the family's 1533-position model. The record is from RNAcentral.
AACGAACGCUGGCGGCAUGCCUAACACAUGCAAGUCGAACGAGACCUUCGGGUCUAGUGGCGCACGGGUGCGUAACGCGUGGGAACCUGCCCUUAGGUUCGGAAUAACUCCCCGAAAGGGGUGCUAAUACCGGAUAAUGUCUUCGGACCAAAGAUUUAUCGCCUUUGGAUGGGCCCGCGUUGGAUUAGCUAGUUGGUAGGGUAGAAGCCUACCAAGGCUAGGAUCCAUAGCUGGUCUGAGAGGAUGAUAAGCCACACUGGGAAUGAGAUACGGCCCAGACUACUACGGGAGGCAGCAGUGGGGGAUAGUGCAGAAUGGGCGGAAGACUGAUGCAGCAACGACGCGUGCGGGAUGAAGGACUUCGGGAUGUAAACCGCUUUCGCCUGUGACGAAGCGUGAGUGAGGGUAAUGGGUAAAGAAGAACGGGCUAAAUACGUG